Molecule: ribosomal RNA, 360 nt
Filed under: Salmonella enterica subsp. enterica serovar Heidelberg
Lineage: Bacteria; Pseudomonadati; Pseudomonadota; Gammaproteobacteria; Enterobacterales; Enterobacteriaceae
Also listed under: 3 other names
Description: partial 23S ribosomal RNA
Rfam family: Bacterial large subunit ribosomal RNA
Source: RNAcentral
CAUCCUCCAAGGCUAAAUACUCCUGACUGACCGAUAGUGAACCAGUACCGUGAGGGAAAGGCGAAAAGAACCCCGGCGAGGGGAGUGAAAAAGAACCUGAAACCGUGUACGUACAAGCAGUGGGAGCACCCUUUGGGGUGUGACUGCGUACCUUUUGUAUAAUGGGUCAGCGACUUAUAUUCUGUAGCAAGGUUAACCGUAUAGGGGAGCCGUAGGGAAACCGAGUCUUAACCGGGCGUUAAGUUGCAGGGUAUAGACCCGAAACCCGGUGAUCUAGCCAUGGGCAGGUUGAAGGUUGGGUAACACUAACUGGAGGACCGAACCGACUAAUGUUGAAAAAUUAGCGGAUGACCUGUGGCU